GAUGCAACGCGAAAAACCUUACCUACCCUUGACAUGUCAAGAAUUCUGCAGAGAUGUGGAAGUGCUCGAAAGAGAACUUGAACACAGGUGCUGCAUGGCCGUCGUCAGCUCGUGUCGUGAGAUGUUGGGUUAAGUCCCGCAACGAGCGCAACCCUUGUCAUUGGUUGCUACGCAAGGGCACUCUAAUGAGACUGCCGGUGACAAACCGGAGGAAGGUGGGGAUGACGUCAGGUCCUCAUGGCCCUUAUGGGUAGGGCUACACACGUCAUACAAUGGCCGGUACAGAGGGCUGCCAACCCGCGAGGGGGAGCCAAUCCCAGAAAACCGGUCGUAGUCCGGAUCGUAGUCUGCAACUCGACUGCGUGAAGUCGGAAUCGCUAGUAAUCGCGGAUCAGCUUGCCGCGGUGAAUACGUUCCCGGGUCUUGUACACACCGCCCGUCACACCAUGGG
This 451-nucleotide ribosomal RNA is filed under the name uncultured bacterium. Its description in RNAcentral is "bacterial SSU rRNA". It matches the Rfam family "Bacterial small subunit ribosomal RNA", at positions 953 to 1408 of the family's 1533-position model. The record is from RNAcentral.